UGGGAUGGGCUCCGGGCGGCCUCCGGGCGGCCGUCGGGCCGGGCCCCGCUCCCCGAGGAAGGGCAGGCGGGUCGGCUGGGUCCGGCCCGCGGGGAACGCGGCGGUGGGAGCCGGGCCGGGGCCCGCCCGGCAGGCGGCUCCCCGGGGCGCCGUAGGUGCGGGGAGACCGGCGGCCCGCGGAGGGGGCGAGAGCCCGGGCUUCGCCAAGUCGGUUCGUGUAACGUGCGGGAUCGGGGGUUGCAAAGCGAGGUCGUGGCGGCGAGUUCAGCUGUUUAUGGAUGCUUGCUUGAAAAUACAGUUUAAUUAAUAGUUAAUUUGCGGUGUUGGUUUUAAUAAUUUGAGUAUCUUGAAUUGUUUGCAGUAUUUUGCCAGAUGCCUGCAGUAGGCACUGCUCAGCGAACACAAUAAUUGUUACUGAAUUGUGCAAUUAAAGAAUAAUCAGCUAGAGUCACGAUUGAGAUUCUGAAUUUAUGACCACAAGUACAGAAAUUAGCUGUUUAUUCUGGACGGAAGCGAUGAUGGAAGCGGUCACCCCAAGAGCUUAGAAUGCCUUUUUGCAACACCUGUAGCUGGAGAACAACAGGACUGCAGUAAAUCAGAUACUAAUCUGGAUCUUGGAAGCCCCAUCUUUCUUUCCCACCAGGGUACUCUCUUCAAUCUGGCUUUUGGCAAGUCAUUUAAUUUCUGUGCCUGUCAGAUC
Long non-coding RNA from Aquila chrysaetos chrysaetos, 700 nucleotides. RefSeq lists it as uncharacterized. The transcript has 3 exons. The record is from RefSeq and is a predicted model, not a curated record. Lineage: Eukaryota; Metazoa; Chordata; Aves; Accipitriformes; Accipitridae.